AGGCACGGGAGCAACCCUGGUGGCGAGUGGCGAACGGGUGAGUAAUAUAUCGGAACGUGCCCAGUCGUGGGGGAUAACGUAGCGAAAGCUACGCUAAUACCGCAUACGAUCUAAGGAUGAAAGCGGGGGACUCGCAAGAGCCUCGCGCGAUUGGAGCGGCCGAUAUCAGAUUAGGUAGUUGGUGGGGUAAAGGCUCACCAAGCCAACGAUCUGUAGCUGGUCUGAGAGGACGACCAGCCACACUGGAACUGAGACACGGUCCAGACUCCUACGGGAGGCAGCAGUGGGGAAUUUUGGACAAUGGACGCAAGUCUGAUCCAGCCAUUCCGCGUGCAGGAUGAAGGCCCUCGGGUUGUAAACUGCUUUGUACGGAACGAAAAGGUUUCUAUUAAUACUAGGAGCUCAUGACGGUACCGUAAGAAUAAGCACCGGCUAACUACGUG
This 443-nucleotide ribosomal RNA is filed under the name uncultured bacterium. RNAcentral's name for it is "bacterial SSU rRNA". It matches the Rfam family "Bacterial small subunit ribosomal RNA", at positions 70 to 507 of the family's 1533-position model. The record is from RNAcentral.